UACGUAGGGGGCAAGCGUUAUCCGGAUUUACUGGGUGUAAAGGGAGCGUAGACGGCAUGGCAAGUCUGGAGUGAAAGGCCGGGGCCCAACCCCGGGACCGCUCUUGGAACUGUGCGGCUGGAGUGCGGGAGGGGCAGGCGGAAUUCCUAGUGUAGCGGUGAAAUGCGUAGAUAUUAGGAGGAACACCAGUGGCGAAGGCGGCCUGCUGGACGAUGACUGACGUUGAGGCUCGAAAGCGUGGGGAGCAAACAGG
RNAcentral lists this ribosomal RNA (253 nucleotides) under uncultured Blautia sp. RNAcentral's name for it is "partial 16S ribosomal RNA". It matches the Rfam family "Bacterial small subunit ribosomal RNA", at positions 524 to 776 of the family's 1533-position model. The record is from RNAcentral. Lineage: Bacteria; Bacillati; Bacillota; Clostridia; Lachnospirales; Lachnospiraceae.